GAAUAUUGGACAAUGGGCGAAAGCCUGAUCCAGCCAUGCCGCGUGAGUGAUGAAGGCCUUAGGGUUGUAAAGCUCUUUUACCCGGGAAGAUAAUGACGGUACCGGGAGAAUAAGCCCCGGCUAACUUCAUGCCAGCAGCCGCGGUAAUACGAAGGGGGCUAGCGUUGUUCGGAAUCACUGGGCGUAAAGCGCACGUAGGCGGACAUUUAAGUCAGGGGUGAAAUCCCGAGGCUCAACCUCGGAACUGCCUUUGAUACUGGGUGUCUUGAGUAUGGAAGAGGUUGGUGGAACUGCGAGUGUAGAGGUGAAAUUCGUAGAUAUUCGCAAGAACACCAGUGGCGAAGGCGGCCAACUGGUCCAUCACUGACGCUGAGGUGCGAAAGCGUGGGGAGCAAACAG
Molecule: ribosomal RNA, 399 nt
Filed under: uncultured bacterium
Lineage: Bacteria
Description: bacterial SSU rRNA
Rfam family: Bacterial small subunit ribosomal RNA
Source: RNAcentral